Molecule: small RNA, 74 nt
Filed under: Xanthomonas campestris
Lineage: Bacteria; Pseudomonadati; Pseudomonadota; Gammaproteobacteria; Lysobacterales; Lysobacteraceae
Also listed under: 2 other names
Description: sRNA sX9
Rfam family: Xanthomonas sRNA sX9
Source: RNAcentral
AUGUACCCACGUACACUCCAGUUCCUCCGCGCCGUCCGCCCCACCUGACAACUGCUCGCUACCUUUUGUUAGCC